This 756-nucleotide ribosomal RNA is filed under the name uncultured bacterium. Its description in RNAcentral is "bacterial SSU rRNA". It matches the Rfam family "Bacterial small subunit ribosomal RNA", at positions 28 to 776 of the family's 1533-position model. The record is from RNAcentral.
GAUGAACGCUAGCUACCGUUUAAACAUGCAAGUCGAGGGGCAUCAGGAAGAAAGCUUCUUUUCAAUGCUGGCGACCGGCGCACGGGUGAGUAACACGUAUCCAACCUGCCCUUUACUCGGGGAUAGCCUUUCGAAAGAAAGAUUAAUACCCGAUGGCAUAAUGAUUCCGCAUGGUUUCAUUAUUAAAGGAUUCCGGUAAAGGAUGGGGAUGCGUUCCAUUAGGUUGUUGGUGAGGUAACGGCUCACCAAGCCUUCGAUGGAUAGGGUUUCUGAGAGGAAGGUCCCCCACAUUGGAACUGAGACACGGUCCAAACUCCUACGGGAGGCAGCAGUGAGGAAUAUCGGUCAAUGGGCGCUAGCCUGAACCAGCCAAGUAGCGUGAAGGAUGAAGGCUCUAUGGGUCGUAAACUUCUUUUAUAUAAGAAUAAAGUGCAGUAUGUAUACUGUUUUGUAUGUAUUAUAUGAAUAAGGAUCGGCUAACUCCGUGCCAGCAGCCGCGGUAAUACGGAGGAUCCGAGCGUUAUCCGGAUUUAUUGGGUUUAAAGGGAGCGUAGGUGGACUGGUAAGUCAGUUGUGAAAGUUUGCGGCUCAACCGUAAAAUUGCAGNUGAUACUGUCAGUCUUGAGUACAGUAGAGGUGGGCGGAAUUCGUGGUGUAGCGGUGAAAUGCUUAGAUAUCACGAAGAACUCCGAUUGCGAAGGCAGCUCACUGGACUGCAACUGACACUGAUGCUCGAAAGUGUGGGUAUCAAACAGG